This 1599-nucleotide long non-coding RNA is filed under the name Calidris pugnax (ruff). RNAcentral describes it as "lncRNA (ENSCPUG00000012059.1)". The record is from RNAcentral. Lineage: Eukaryota; Metazoa; Chordata; Aves; Charadriiformes; Scolopacidae.
UAAGACUUCUGGUGUCUUAGCUUUUUGAGUUAUAAAUAGCUUCCUUUCUGGAGAAUGAUUCUCAGACUGUGAUUGUCAGGAUUUUUUAGUGUUUUUUUCAGAGCAAGGCAAAAGUAACCCCUCGGAAGGCUUUUCUGAAACGAAGAGAAGGUAUGGCAAGGCUCAAAAAAACUAAACAGAAGCCUUUGAAAGAAGAUAACAAGUAUUCCAGAAAAGCUGGCUUGGACUGCUGGAGCCAUUUCUCCCAGCCUGGUCAAGUGGAUGCAGAUAUACUGCAGCCAGGGGAAUGCCCUCAGUUAAAUAUACAGGUCAGUACACAUGAAAAACAAGCAGACUGUGCUUUAGCCGAGCUGGAGAUAAAGGCUCAGACUGACUGUGGAGAAAAAGUAGUUGAGCAAAGUCCAGAAGGAAAAGUGAUUGGGAAAGAUGAAGCUCCAAAGGAAAAGCCUGUUGACUCAACACAGAGAAGGUGGCCUGAAAUCCUGCAACCAUGCCCUGAAACAGUAAGAGAAAUGAACGUACAAGUAGGUGAGGAAAGGGAAGCUCGUCAUAUGGACUGUCUAGGGAAAGCAGGUGGAACUGAUGGAAAACUUGCGGAGAGUACCCUCCAAAAGGACCUAGGUAGGGUGGAUCAGCCUCUUCUGAGUCAUCUCGUAGAGGGAGUAAAAACCCCCUUGGAAGUCCUGCAAAAGCAUUCUCCGCUUCAGGAUUUAGAAAUAGAUCACACCGAGGAGGCAGAGUGGAGUGCAGGCCCCUCAUUCACACGUGGUCAGAAGUGGGUUCAGGUACGCCCACAGGAACUUGUUUUGGGGAGCCAGAGCUCAGAAAGCAUAAGACAAAUCCAUACUGGAUUUAAGAUGGUGAAUGGUAAGAUAGUAAAAAUUGCACAUAGCUCACCUGAGGUUGUGGAGAAGGGAAGCUCAUCCUCAGCCUUGCAGCAGGAGUGGCAAAGGAAGGGGACAGCUGCCUUGAAGUGGCAUGUUGCAUCUCUGUCCUGUGAGUCAAGCUGCUUAUCCUCCAGCAGUGAUGAUGACCCCAAAUCUCAUGAUGCUCAGUAUGCUUCGCAGCAUGGGCCUCAGGGAGUAGAUCAUACUGACAGACAUUUGGAUCUCUCUGAUGGCGAUUAUGCUAGUGAUGAGCCCAGUGGAACUGAAAAAAUGUCUAUUAAAACAUACAGCAGAUCACCCCCAAGGAAACAAGAUAUUCAAGUGAUGUCAAGGCAAUGUCUCUCCUGCAGUCUAAGCAGCAGUGAUUCCAGUAUUGGAGCUGUCACACUGAAAGGAAGCAAGGCUCACUCUUCUCUUCAGCAGUCCCCAUUUCAUCUCACAAGGUUGAAAAGGAGAGAGCGUGAGCCUAAAUCAAAGAAUGAGAAUAAGGCCAGGGAUGUUAAAAGCCUAGAUUUGCCACGCUCAACAGGGACUGGUGAGAUUCCUGCUUUCAAGACUAAAGAAACCCCUGCAGUGGAGGAACCACAGAAAAAACUGUUUACAGACACAUUAGAAGAAACCCAGAACAACCUUACCAGAGGAUUAGAGACUGAUGUGUAUCACAGAGGAACCCCUUCACUGGCUAGAGUGAAAGAAGAACCAGAGAAAGCAA